This 468-nucleotide ribosomal RNA is filed under the name uncultured bacterium. Its description in RNAcentral is "partial 16S ribosomal RNA". It matches the Rfam family "Bacterial small subunit ribosomal RNA", at positions 28 to 507 of the family's 1533-position model. The record is from RNAcentral.
GACGAACGCUGGCGGCGUGCUUAACACAUGCAAGUCGAACGGAAAGGCCCUGCGAUCGUGGGGUUCUCGAGUGGCGAACGGGGGAGUAACACGUGAGUAACCUGCCCUAGACUUUGGGAUAACUUCAGGAAAGUGGGGCUACUAUCGGAUAGGAGCUCCCGUUGGAUGGAGGGCGUUGGAAAGUUUCGGCGGGUGGGGAUGGACUAGCGGCUGAUCAGCUUGUUGGUGGGGUAGUGGCUUACCAAGGCUUUGACGGGUAGCCGGCCUGAGAGGGUGACCGGCCACAUUGGGACUGAGAUACGGCCCAGACUCCUACGGGGGGCAGCAGUGGGGAAUAUUGCACAAUGGGCGGAAGCCUGAUGCAGCAACGCCGCGUGCGUGAUGACGGCCUUCGGGUUGUAAACCGCUUUCGCCUGUGACGAAGCGUGAGUGACGGUAAUGGGUAAAGAAGCACCGGCUAACUACGUG